Molecule: ribosomal RNA, 429 nt
Filed under: uncultured archaeon
Lineage: Archaea
Description: bacterial SSU rRNA
Rfam family: Archaeal small subunit ribosomal RNA
Source: RNAcentral
UACCAGCUCUCCGAGUUGUAGGGAUGAUUAUUGGGCUUAAAGCGUCCGUAGCCGGCUUAGCAAGUCUCCUGUUAAAUUCAGCGACCUAAUCGUUGAGCCGCGGGAGAUACUACUAGGCUAGGAGGCGGGAGAGGUCAACGGUACUUCCGGGGUAGGGGUGAAAUCCUAUAAUCCCGGGAGGACCACCAGUGGCGAAGGCUGUUGACUAGAACGCGCUCGACGGUGAGGGACGAAAGCUGGGGGAGCGAACCGGAUUAGAUACCCGGGUAGUCCCAGCUGUAAACGAUGCGGGCUAGGUGUUGGGGUGGCUACGUGCCACUUCAGUGCCGCAGGAAAGCCAUUAAGCCCGCCGCCUGGGGAGUACGGCCGCAAGGCUGAAACUUAAAGGAAUUGGCGGGGGAGCACCACAAGGCGUGAAGCUUGCGGUUC